Molecule: long non-coding RNA, 431 nt
Filed under: Callithrix jacchus (white-tufted-ear marmoset)
Lineage: Eukaryota; Metazoa; Chordata; Mammalia; Primates; Cebidae
Description: lncRNA (ENSCJAG00000081310.1)
Source: RNAcentral
AAAGGGAGAAGCCAUCUUAGGACUUCAUUGAGCACACCUGGCCUUGGAUAGAGCCGAAUUUUGCAGAAGGACAUUGUGGCUGCCCUUUUGAGUAAUUCAUUGCUGUUACAAACUGGAUAAAUUUCAGCUGGAGGAGGAGUGCUGUUAUCAUCCAGUGGGUAGAGGCCAGGGAUGCUGAUAAACCUCCCGCAAUGCCCAAGACAGUCUCCCACAGCAAAGAGUUCUCCAGUCAAAAUGUCAAUGGUGCCAAAGACAAUGACCUACAUUUUUAUUGGCCUAGAAGUUUGAGAAUUGUUAACAGUAGAAAGGUUAGUACAAUGUGGUACCAGUCAGGUUUCUUGACACAUUCAGGUUUGUAUGGACCAAACUUUCAUUCAGUUAGCCCCUUGCCUUUGCAGCCAGGAACCUCUUGUAUUCAGUGUCUUAACUAA